Molecule: long non-coding RNA, 2573 nt
Organism: Phyllopteryx taeniolatus (common seadragon)
Lineage: Eukaryota; Metazoa; Chordata; Actinopteri; Syngnathiformes; Syngnathidae
Exons: 6
Source: RefSeq, a predicted model, not a curated record
CCAGUCCGUUGUACCUUGUUUCCACGUCACCGACUCAUAGUGGCACAGUGACCGAGUGGUUAGCACAGCUGCCUCACAGUUCUGAGGACACUAGUUCAAACCCGGCCUCGCCUGUGUGGAAUUUGCAUGUUCUCCCUGUGCCUGCAUGGGUUUUCUCCGGGCACUCCGGUGUCCUACCACAUUCCAAAAACAUGCGUGUUACCACACAGAUCAUUAUUGCCACAUUGGGAAAAGCAGCUCACCACCUCCCAUGCAGCUUCCCCGAGGGGCAUUACCCUGAGCAAAGCAGAGGCUUUGUAAUCUGAGCCCAGCAGAAUUCAACCUACGUUUGGUUGAGGCUGAUGAGCCAGCGAGAGUGGUUUCUCUCGCCACUGGUCUCACUGAUUCAACAUGUUCAAUCAGCCAAACAAUCCUCUGACAAGGGCAGAUCGGUGCCAACGAUGCAGGAUACUCUGUGAAGACUGAGACCACGACAUACACCGACAAAGCCCAGUGAACCAGGUGGAUUAAACCUUGAGCAGAAGCACACAUAUGAAUGCAGGAGGAAUCCAAAUUACCCGGAGAAAACCUACACAAGAAGGAGAAGAGAACAUGCAAACUCCACAUGGAGCCCAGAACCUCUGAACUGUGAGGCAGAGGCACGAACCAGUAUUCCAUCAUGCAGAGCAAAACUAUGAACAGGAUUUGCAGUCCAUGUUAAUUGUUAGAGCCUGUCUAAGUGGCCAUGGCAAUUCCAGAAACAACAGUCAACCUCCUCUGGCAGGAAGAAGGCCCUUAACCACAAGAGCUGAGGCUGAAGGGGAAGGUGGGAGGUGAGCCAGAGGGAAGGCAGCCUGCGGUUGUACAUCUUUGGAAAGCUUCAUGUGUUGCCGAGACAGUGACUUAAGUGACUUCAGCUCAUCUAAAAGAUGCUCAUCAUGAGCGGUUGAAAGCCACCCUUUUCAUUCCAGCAUGAAAAGCAAACCAAGCCCAUCUGGAGAGCACAAGAGGUUGCCAAAAUAGGAAAAGAAAAACUGAUUGGCUUUGGAACGACACUGUACAAGUCAUAACAUACACCAGCCUUUACCACAAUAACAGAAGGAUGUUUAGAAUUUUAAUGUAUCAACAGGGUUUCCCAAAAAUCUGUAAAUAUUUACUCAUAAAGCAAUGGAAAAUGCAGGGGCCUCCACAGUUGGUCUCUUUCAACCUAUUUAAAUGCCAGUAACUCAAAGCAGCCACCAUGGCAAAUUCCACACUGCAUAGAGUAUUUGUUUUGAAGCCCAUGUUUAGACUCCAUUUAUAAGGCCAGUGUCUCCACGCAGAGGGCUCCUGCUAGGAUGAUAAGGAAGUGUCUGCCUUCUCAAGAUGAAGUCUAACAAAGGAGGAGGGGGAGGUGGGCAGUGGACUCACAACUGCAUUAUCUUGCAAUGUGGGAUUCAUUUGAGAAGCCAGUUUUGACAAAUUACGCAUUCCUUUCUCCCAUCAUCACCCUUGCAAAUGCCUAUGGUCUUUCAUGAUUGAGCUCAAAUGUACAUAGAGUAUAUGGCCUUUGGAGUGCAAGGUCUGUUCUUGGCCAUAUUGAGCAAAUGAGCCAGAGAAAGAAUCUCUCACGCCUGCCUGUAAAAUAUGCACAGAAAUGGGUUUGUUGUAGUGUGAAAAGAUUUGGCCAACUAAGAACUGUUAGGCUUAAUAGCUUUGACUAGAUAUUCAUUAAAAGCCACUGACAUUUCAAGCAGACCGGUAAACUACUGUCACUCCCUAGCCUUUAAAAAAAGGAUUCAUGUGUCUUUCUUGUAGAAAAGAAGGGAUGCCGCAUUGGCCCAAUCUGUAAGUCAUUAAAGAACAUCAAAUUAAUUCUCUGUCAAAAGCCAGGAAGAGAUAAAAAGUUUGAUCAGUGUUUCAUGUGCUGAACAGCUUUACAAUCUUUGUACUCAGAUGCUGUAAAGUCGGGUACAUGCGUACCGACAAUCGGCCCAAUUUUGAGGCCACUUCUCUUUUCUGAUAAAAGACAGCAAAGGCCCAAUAACUGGAUGAUUUUUUUUCCUGUGGUGUGGGGUGUUUUAAGAAUGAUAUUUUUUUCCCUCAAUCUGCUUGGAAAACGGCCAACAAUUGUAAAUGUUAAACCUGUUCAAUAUUUACGAUCGCAAAUCUUUAUAACGUGUGAUCAACACUAAGUUUGGCCAAGCUACGUCCUCGGUGAUUUUGUAUGAAACGUAACAAUAGCCAGUUUGGAAGCAAUCUGAAGCUCACACUCUUGCCGCACUAAUAGGAGAGCAACUGUUUUUUUUAAGUGUUUGUAUAACAUAUCUACCAAGUCAUUGAUCCCACUAAAAGGAAGAAUUUGCAACUGCAGUGUAGUCACCAAAUAAGAUAACAGUUAGCCUAGCUUUUUCUAUUUUAGUAGUCAGCACAAACUCUGCAAUUUUAUUUUAUUUUUUUUCAUGAGUGGGUUCACGCACAUUUUACAAAAGCGGUUAGUAUUUUUGAAAAUCAGGAUGUGUGUAACCUGCAUAAUUGGACAGGCUGAUAUCUGGAUUCAUCCAGUGACUAUUAUGUGUUUCAUGCAUCAUUUUGAGCAGUGUACAGCCAGUUUU